UCUCACAUGGUGGUAUGCGCAGGCGCGGGUGGUUGGGCUGGGCAGUCCCUGCGCCGGCCAGAGAGGAUCUGAAGAUCUUGGAGGUGAGCCCUGACUCCCAGGCUCCCCUGUGAUCAGACCUCGUUGUGAAGUUUCACAGCACUUCAGAGGAGUUCAUUCCCUCCUGGUGGAGAUUUUUCUCUAUGACCCUCCAAAGCAAGCCUACUUGAAUUCUGAAGGCUCAUGCUCUAAACAAGAUGCCUCUGGCAGGAGGCCCCGGAAGAUGGAGUCUCCAGGUCCGGUGUGACUACAUUGUUCCUGACUUAGGAAGCUAAGACACAGAAUCACCCAGAAGCCUGAGAGCUUCCUGUUGGGUUACUCGUUUUACAAUCUAUAUUGAAAAGAGUUGACUAAUGUAACUAUCCCUUGAUAACAGGACAAGGGAUGUUUGCCCUUCACAGACAUAGGCUGACUGUCUGUGUGUCUCUUUCCAUUGUUUUUGAAGGGCCCCUUUCUCUCAAUAAAAACAACAAACACGUCACACAGA
Long non-coding RNA from Mastomys coucha (southern multimammate mouse), 526 nucleotides. RefSeq lists it as uncharacterized. NCBI's taxonomy places the organism in Eukaryota, Metazoa, Chordata, Mammalia, Rodentia, Muridae. The transcript has 2 exons. The record is from RefSeq and is a predicted model, not a curated record.